This 433-nucleotide ribosomal RNA is filed under the name uncultured bacterium. RNAcentral describes it as "partial 16S ribosomal RNA". It matches the Rfam family "Bacterial small subunit ribosomal RNA", at positions 29 to 507 of the family's 1533-position model. The record is from RNAcentral.
AACGAACGCUGGCGGCAUGCCUAACACAUGCAAGUCGAACGAGACCUUCGGGUCUAGUGGCGCACGGGUGCGUAACGCGUGGGAACCUGCCCUUAGGUUCGGAAUAACUCCCCGAAAGGGGUGCUAAUACCGGAUAAUGUCUUCGGACCAAAGAUUUAUCGCCUUUGGAUGGGCCCGCGUUGGAUUAGCUAGUUGGUAGGGUAAAAGCCUACCAAGGCGACGAUCCAUAGCUGGUCUGAGAGGAUGAUCAGCCACACUGGGACUGAGACACGGCCCAGACUCCUACGGGAGGCAGCAGUGGGGAAUAUUGGACAAUGGGCGGAAGCCUGAUCCAGCAAUGCCGCGUGAGUGAUGAAGGCCUUAGGGUUGUAAAGCUCUUUUACCCGGGAUGAUAAUGACAGUACCGGGAGAGUAAGCUCCGGCUAACUCCGUG